UACGAGGGGGGCGAGCGUUGUUCGGAAUUAUUGGGCGUAAAGGGUGCGUAGGCGGUUCCGCAAGUCCUGUGUGAAAUCUUCGGGCUCAACUCGAAGUCUGCACGGGAAACUGCGGGGCUUGAGUGUGGGAGAGGUGAGUGGAAUUCCCGGUGUAGCGGUGAAAUGCGUAGAUAUCGGAAGGAACACCUGUGGCGAAAGCGGCUCACUGGACCAUAACUGACGCUGAUGCACGAAAGCUGGGGGAGCAAACAGG
RNAcentral lists this ribosomal RNA (253 nucleotides) under uncultured bacterium. RNAcentral describes it as "partial 16S ribosomal RNA". It matches the Rfam family "Bacterial small subunit ribosomal RNA", at positions 524 to 776 of the family's 1533-position model. The record is from RNAcentral.